AGAGUUUGAUCAUGGCUCAGAUUGAACGCUGGCGGCAUGCCUUACACAUGCAAGUCGAACGGCAGCACGGGGGCAACCCUGGUGGCGAGUGGCGAACGGGUGAGUAAUACAUCGGAACGUGUCCUGUAGUGGGGGAUAGCCCGGCGAAAGCCGGAUUAAUACCGCAUACGCUCUACGGAGGAAAGGGGGGGAUCUUAGGACCUCCCGCUACAGGGGCGGCCGAUGGCAGAUUAGCUAGUUGGUGGGGUAAAGGCCUACCAAGGCGACGAUCUGUAGCUGGUCUGAGAGGACGACCAGCCACACUGGGACUGAGACACGGCCCAGACUCCUACGGGAGGCAGCAGUGGGGAAUUUUGGACAAUGGGGGAAACCCUGAUCCAGCAAUGCCGCGUGUGUGAAGAAGGCCUUCGGGUUGUAAAGCACUUUUGUCCGGAAAGAAAACCUCCGAGUUAAUACCUUGGGGGGAUGACGGUACCGGAAGAAUAAGCACCGGCUAACUACGUGCCAGCAGCCGCGGUAAUACGUAGGGUGCAAGCGUUAAUCGGAAUUACUGGGCGUAAAGCGUGCGCAGGCGGUCCGCUAAGACAGAUGUGAAAUCCCCGGGCUUAACCUGGGAACUGCAUUUGUGACUGGCGGGCUAGAGUAUGGCAGAGGGGGGUAGAAUUCCACGUAGCAGUGAAAUGCGUAGAGAUGUGGAGGAAUACCGAUGGCGAAGGCAGCCCCCUGGGCCAAUACUGACGCUCAUGCACGAAAGCGUGGGGAGCAAACAGGAUUAGAUACCCUAGUAGUCC
RNAcentral lists this ribosomal RNA (791 nucleotides) under uncultured bacterium. RNAcentral describes it as "bacterial SSU rRNA". It matches the Rfam family "Bacterial small subunit ribosomal RNA", at positions 8 to 796 of the family's 1533-position model. The record is from RNAcentral.